GAUGAACGCUGGCGGCGUGCCUAAUACAUGCAAGUCGAGCGAACAGACGAGGAGCUUGCUCCUCUGACGUUAGCGGCGGACGGGUGAGUAACACGUGGAUAACCUACCUAUCAGACUGGGAUAACUUCGGGAAACCGGAGCUAAUACCGUAUAAUAUAUUGAACCGCAUGGUUCAAUAGUGAAAGACGGUUUUGCUGUCACUUAUAGAUGGAUCCGCGCCGCAUUAGCUAGUUGGUAAGGUAACGGCUUACGAAGGCAACGAUGCGUAGCCGACCUGAGAGGGUGAUCGGCCACACUGGAAGUGAGACACGGUCCAGACUCCUACGGGAGGCAGCAGUAGGGAAUCUUCCGCAAUGGGCGAAAGCCUGACGGAGCAACGCCGCGUGAGUGAUGAAGGUCUUCGGAUCGUAAAACUCUGUUAUUAGGGAAGAACAAAUGUGUAAGUAACUAUGCACGUCUUGACGGUACCUAAUCAGAAAGCCACGGCUAACUACGUG
RNAcentral lists this ribosomal RNA (497 nucleotides) under uncultured bacterium. RNAcentral describes it as "partial 16S ribosomal RNA". It matches the Rfam family "Bacterial small subunit ribosomal RNA", at positions 28 to 507 of the family's 1533-position model. The record is from RNAcentral.